RNAcentral lists this ribosomal RNA (496 nucleotides) under fungal sp. FB-4. RNAcentral describes it as "eukaryotic LSU rRNA". The stretch from base 142 to 295 matches the Rfam family "5.8S ribosomal RNA". The record is from RNAcentral. Lineage: Eukaryota; Fungi.
UCGGCCGGGGAUGAUCAUAACCCCAUGCUGUCCGACUCUGUUGCCUCCGGGGCGUCCCUGCCUCACGGCGGGGGCCCCGGGUGGACACAUUCAAACUCUUGCGUAACUUUGCAGUCUGAGUAAAUUUAAUUAAUAAAUUAAAACUUUCAACAACGGAUCUCUUGGUUCUGGCAUCGAUAAAGAACGCAGCGAAAUGCGAUAAGUAAUGUGAAUUGCAGAAUUCAGUGAAUCAUCGAAUCUUUGAACGCACAUUGCGCCCCCUGGUAUUCCGGGGGGCAAGCCUGUUCGAGCGUCAUUUCACCACUCAAGCCUCGCUUGGUAUUGGGCGACGCGGUCCGCCGCGCGCCUCAAAUCGACCGGCUGGGUCUUCUGUCCCCUCAGCGUUGUGGAAACUAUUCGCUAAAGGGCGCCACGGGAGGUCACGCCGUAAAACAAGCCCAUUUCUAAGGUUGACCUCGGAUCAGGUAGGGAUACCCGCUGAACUUAAGCAUAUCAA